GACAGAGGGUGCAAACGUUGCUCGGAAUUACUGGGCGUAAAGCGCGUGUAGGCGGGCUGAUAAGUCGGACGUGAAAUCCCUGGGCUCAACCCAGGAACUGCAUCCGAAACUGUCAGUCUGGAGUGGUGGAGAGGGAAGCAGAAUUCCUGGUGUAGAGGUGAAAUUCGUAGAUAUCAGGAGGAACACCGGUGGCGAAGGCGGGUCUCUGGGCCAUAACUGACGCUGAGGAGCGAAAGCGUGGGGAGCGAACAGG
RNAcentral lists this ribosomal RNA (253 nucleotides) under uncultured bacterium. Its description in RNAcentral is "partial 16S ribosomal RNA". It matches the Rfam family "Bacterial small subunit ribosomal RNA", at positions 524 to 776 of the family's 1533-position model. The record is from RNAcentral.